This 204-nucleotide long non-coding RNA is filed under the name Panax ginseng (ginseng). RNAcentral's name for it is "long non-coding RNA (PGIN_LNC016039)". Lineage: Eukaryota; Viridiplantae; Streptophyta; Magnoliopsida; Apiales; Araliaceae. The record is from RNAcentral.
AAGUAAGGACUUUAAAAUCACCAAAUUACAUUUAGACCCUCUUGAUUUUAUUUUUUUUCGGCUGUUUAUCCAAGUGAGAUGGUUUGAUGUGUAACUAUAUAUGUUUGGGAUGAUAGGUAUUCUGGUCAAAGUAAGUUGGAUGGUACAAAAUAUCCGUUACUGCACCCAAGUGUAGUAUGAGAGAAAAGUGAGGAACGGAUCGCG